AGUGGUGUUAUGAGUUCAGAGGAAGGAGGAAAUCUCAGUUGAUCAAAGAAUAUGUUUAUCUCAUUGGGCAAUGAAAGUAAUGGAAACUCCCUGAGGGGUGAAACCGAAGACCGUAUGCAAGGAUCGGAGCGAAAUGGGGUAACAAGGAACUGAAAAGGGAUACGGCUGGGGCAGAACUGUAGGAAGCUUUGAGUGGCACGCCAAAGAAUUUAGCCUGCCAGUGAUCAUGGUUAGAGGUUCAGCACACCAUAUGAAGCUUCAUCCUUUGAAUGCUACCUGCCCUACAAGCAGACAGAACCACUGGGCACAUACACGCUGUGAUUGGCAACUCUGACAGACAUAUAUACAACUCACAUCUAUUUCUGGAGUUGUCAGACGUGGUAGAGAAUGGUGAAACAACAGGAGUCACUGGACCUCAGUGGAUAUCUUGCUAUUUACUGUGACUCCAAGGCAGCGACUAAACUUUUCAGAGCCUAAAGUUAUCAGCAAUGUGCAUGUAAAUGAAAAAUGUCUACCCUCUCUGCCUCAGGGUGACUUAGAAAUUCAUAAGAAAUCUUGUUUGUGAAAAGCUCUUUGAAAUAAUCUACCAAGUGCUGUACAAAUGUGAGACAUGCUAAUCCCUUUGGGUUAAACCAUUAAAUCUCCAGACAACUCUAUUUAAAUGCAAAUAUGUCGUAUAAGAAGGCAUAACAUUAGCACAUAUAUUAGAAUUUUAGCUAUGCAUUAGGGUACAUGGUUUUUUCACAAAAAUCUGACACUGAAGAAAUGGGGAAAGUGGUCAUUACAUUUUAAUGUCAUUGGGGAGGAAGCUGGGGAGGAAGCAGAACUUCUACCUUCUUUGGGUCUCCUAGGCUUGAAAAUUAAAUGGAAAGAAACAAACUCAUAGAUACAGAGAACAAACUGGUGGCUGCUGAUGUAUGUAAAGGAGGCUGGGGGCCAGGUGAAAAGGGUGAAAGUGAUUAAGAAAUCCAAAUGGCUGGUUGUUAAAAUAUUAGGGGGAUAUAAAGUACAGCAUAGGGAAUAUCAUUAAUAACACUGUAAUAACUAUACAUGGUGUUAGGUACUAGACUGAUAGGGGUGAUCACUUUAUAAGGCAUAUAAAUAUCUAAUGACUAUGUUGAACACCUGAAACUAAUAUAGCAUUGUAUGUCAACUGUAAUUAAAAAAUAAAAAAAGAUUGAUAGAAGAAAAACACAGAUUGUAUUUAAUAUAAGUUUCAUGUGCUAUGGGAACCCCUAUAAGGAAAUGAAGACCCACAAAAGUGGCAAGACCUAAAUGCUUUUACACUAUGUUGAACAGAGAGACAAAGAGGUGGUAAAAAAGUAAUUAAAAUAUAAGGGGAGGCUAGAGAAAGAUGAGAGUAUUUAACAAACUCUGCACAACAUUCUCAGCCUCAGGUCCCCACCUCUGGUGAGAAGAAUGUUUUCUUCUUCGAGGUAUAGGGAGGCCAUCUUUCACAUGGAAGUUUUCUCUCCUGCUUUUAGGACAAAAAGGGAAAGGCAGAGCAUUCUUCUUAUACCUGCUUUUUUUUAAGCGAUCAAAAUAAUUUUUAUACCAAUUGACAUAUUUUGAGUUGGUAGACACUGCCACUGUUCAGAGCCAUGAAAAAAGGAGGAGAAAGAGAAUUGGAAAAAUUCAAUGCAGGGGCCUAAAGGUCAGACCUAGGAAACCCACUUAACGUGAGGUCCAAAAACAGACCCGAAAGGGCCUGAAAGCCCACAUGCUUACUUUAAACUAUUGUCUACACCUGGUCCUGAUUUCUCAGGGGGGAAAAUGUAUGUCAAGACAUGUGUUUUUUUCUUUUCCUAGAGGCAAAGAAUGAAGGGACUAGUGGAAUAGUAGACGUAGCUGAACAACCUAUUACAACUUCUUUGUGUAUGUGUGUGUAUCUGUGUGUGUGUGUGUGUGUGUGUGUGUGUGUACAUAUACCUCCAAAAGGAUGCUAUGUGGAUAUACCUCCAAAAGGAAACAGAAAACAGUAUCCCUAUUAGGUAGACGACGCCAUGGUACAUAUGAAUGCUCUACCACUCUACAUCCUCCUAGGGUCUUAAUUAAGUUUAAAUAUCAUGAGUGGGCAGAGAGAAGAAUUGGGACGUGCUGUAAUUCAGUUUCCACUUUCAACCUUUGCAAUGUUACAGCCUCCCAAUAAAGUGUUAUGGGUUAUGGCAUUGCCAGAAAGAACCUGCGGGUGCCAGCUUUUACAGAUGCUCCAAGGCAUUAAAUCUCCAGAACAUGGAGAAAAGACAGAAGUCAAAUCUGACCCUGCACCUUAUUUGCACAUGCUCAACUUCAUCCUCUCCUCUAGUGGAAAUGAAGUUGAAGAAAGACUCUUACGUGACACUAGAAAAUCAGAGCCUUGGACACCCCCAGAUGAAUAAGGAAGGCCACAGUCUAAGGGAGGAGGCUGCUCUGGUAAAGACACAUUUUUAAUCCCUUACCCAGCUGGGUAUUUGCUGGGUUAAAAGGCAGUCAACUGUGUUGACCCUUGGGGUUUACAUGUGGUUUUCAAUUACAGACACUUUCAUGUUUGGAAUUCCCUGCCCUAAAAAUUGCUGCAGGCUCUCAAAUCUCCUAUGCAGGUUAACUUGUCCAAAUAAAGCCAGCUUCAGCUGAGAGGCAUUAGAACUUCCACUUGCCAUCUAUAAAGACUGCUAAAGGCAACAAGAGCUGUGAGAGGAGUACAAGAAAAUCACAGGAAAAAUAUCUUGUUUCAAUAACAAGUACCUACCUGAACUCCUACUCAGUUACUGUUUCUCAAGGAAGAAAUGAGUUCCAAAUAUGGAUUUAAUUCUGCACAGUCUCAGCACUUGUCUCCAUAUUCCUAGCUGGCAUUUGGCAGCAAGACACAAAGUCAUCUCCUUGGAAUUUAUUUUCUUUCUUUUAAACAUUCAUUAAUUAAUUAAAAUUUUCUGAAAUGUAGAACAUUCCUGUAACAGCAAAUGCAAAGUGUCCAAAAGGAUAUGGAGAGGAAAAACAGGCUUCUGUCUCAUUGUAACCUCCAGCCACUUGUUCUGCUUCUAAAAGCUAUCAUUUUUGGCAGUUUCAGAGAUAAUCUCUAUCUACAAAUACCUGUGGAUUUUCUCUCAUCUUUUCUCUUUGCCCAGAUAAUUGUAUAUUAUAGCAAAAAAGCAAAGUACAAGAGUAUCUAUAUCUAUCUAUCCCUUGUCUCUAUACGGUAACCAUGUUUGUCUUUUAUGUGAGUUAGUUAUGCAUUUCCCUGUUACUUUUAAUGGCUGCAUAGUGUUUGUUUCUGUGGAUAUAGCAUAAUUUAUUUAGUUGAUCCCCUACUCAUAGCCAAUUAUGUUGUUAUGAAUCUCAUAUUAAAACAAUGAGUGUUUUUGUGACAGUAUCAUUUCACUUGUGUAAAAGGAUACACUAGAUAAAUUCCUAGAAGUGGAAUUUCUAGGGAAAAAUAUGCAUCUUCAAUUUUGAUAUAUAUUACUGAAUUUUAAUGGCCUCUAAGAUUUCUUGUUUCCUGAUGUGAUUGAACUUUUUGAUCUUGACAAUGAGAUACGUGCAUAUUAGAAUUUUAAAGUAGUUUAAUUUGCCUUCCUCCAAAAAUAGGUCAAUAUUAAAUGUCUUUGUAUAUGCUUAAAAACUCAUUAUUUCUUUUUCAUUAACUGUUUAUUUUUACCCCUCUUCUUCUGCUGUCUUUUUGGUCAUGUUAUUUCUGUUGUCUUUUUCUUCCACAUUAACUGUUAAAUAUGAUGGGUUUCUUUUCCCCCAAGACUUUUGUCUUUUGUUCAUUUUUAAACUGUGGUUGUUGUCUUCUGCCAAACAGAUUUUUAACAUUUUAUUGUAUUGCCAUAUUAGUAACAUUUUAUAACUUGUAGAUUUUGUGUUAUAUUUAGAAAGUACUUCUCAAGACCAAAUUUAUUUUUAAAUUAUCUAAUGUUAUCUGUACUGCUAUUAUGGUUUUAUGUUCUUUACUUAUACAUUUUACCUAGAAUUUAUUUUCCUACAUAA
Phyllostomus discolor (pale spear-nosed bat) is the source of this 3966-nucleotide long non-coding RNA. RefSeq lists it as uncharacterized. The record is from RefSeq and is a predicted model, not a curated record. Lineage: Eukaryota; Metazoa; Chordata; Mammalia; Chiroptera; Phyllostomidae. The transcript is spliced from 2 exons.